UCAGAGAUAGUUUAAAAAAAAUAUUAAUUUUGGGGAUUAAUGAUAGAGGUAAUUUUUCUCUGAA
This 64-nucleotide transfer RNA is filed under the name Indochinamon bhumibol. RNAcentral describes it as "tRNA-Pro". The record is from RNAcentral. Lineage: Eukaryota; Metazoa; Arthropoda; Malacostraca; Decapoda; Potamidae.